CCAGAAGCCAGCCCAGCUUCUGCGUGCUUUUUUCCCUGAGGCUGAGACCAAAGAAGAGCUGAUGAUUUCCCCAAGUUGAUUUACUCUCAUAUCUGCCAUGAAGAUUCUGGGUUUUGGAUAGCCGAUGCUUGUUGCUGUUCUCUCCAAGGUGCUUUCUACAUGAUUAAAACUUCUCCCUAGCCCAAGGGUCAGAAUGAUAUGCCUUUAAUUACCAAGGGCUGUGGAAGAAACUAUCAAGUGAAACCAGCAAGAAUCUGUGUUCUAGCUGAGGCUGUCAGAGUUCUGCAGGGAAAACGUGCUGUUUGCCACCACUGCCCCCUCCCCAGCCCAGAGCAGUGCUGGUCAGCAGGAGCACAGCUGUCCACCCCCUCUGCCCCGCAAGAAGAAAAGCUUCAUAUUGAGGUGAGUGCUCAUCUCAUGGCUCUCAUGAGCAAGAGGAUGUGUGG
This 446-nucleotide long non-coding RNA is filed under the name Melopsittacus undulatus (budgerigar). RNAcentral's name for it is "lncRNA (ENSMUNG00000021458.1)". Lineage: Eukaryota; Metazoa; Chordata; Aves; Psittaciformes; Psittaculidae. The record is from RNAcentral.